UACGUAGGCGGCAAGCGUUGUCCGGAUUUAUUGGGUUUAAAGGGUGCGUAGGCGGCUUUGUAAGUCAGUGGUGAAAUAUGGCAGCUCAACUGUCAGGGUGCCAUUGAUACUGCAGAGCUUGAGUACAGAUGAGGUAGGCGGAAUUGACGGUGUAGCGGUGAAAUGCUUAGAUAUCGUCAAGAACACCGAUAGCGAAGGCAGCUUACUGGGCUGUAACUGACGCUGAGGCACGAAAGUGUGGGGAUCAAACAGG
Molecule: ribosomal RNA, 253 nt
Filed under: uncultured bacterium
Lineage: Bacteria
Description: partial 16S ribosomal RNA
Rfam family: Bacterial small subunit ribosomal RNA
Source: RNAcentral